This 433-nucleotide ribosomal RNA is filed under the name uncultured bacterium. Its description in RNAcentral is "partial 16S ribosomal RNA". It matches the Rfam family "Bacterial small subunit ribosomal RNA", at positions 29 to 507 of the family's 1533-position model. The record is from RNAcentral.
AACGAACGCUGGCGGCAUGCCUAACACAUGCAAGUCGAACGAGACCUUCGGGUCUAGUGGCGCACGGGUGCGUAACGCGUGGGAACAUGCCCUUAGGUUCGGACUAACUCCCCGAAAGGGGUGCUAAUACCGGAUAAUGUCUUCGGACCAAAGAUUUAUCGCAUUUGGAUGGGCCCGCGUUGGAUUAGCUAGUUGGUAGGGUAAAAGCCUACCAAGGCGACGAUCCAUAGCUGGUCUGAGAGGAUGAUCAGCCACACUGGGACUGAGACACGGCCCAGACUCCUACGGGAGGCAGCAGUGGGGAAUAUUGGACAAUGGGCGAAAGCCUGAUCCAGCAAUGCCGCGUGAGUGAUGAAGGCCUUAGGGUUGUAAAGCUCUUUUACCCGUGAUGAUAAUGACAGUACCGGGAGAAUAAGCUCCGGCUAACUCCGUG